RNAcentral lists this ribosomal RNA (446 nucleotides) under uncultured prokaryote. RNAcentral describes it as "bacterial SSU rRNA". It matches the Rfam family "Bacterial small subunit ribosomal RNA", at positions 355 to 796 of the family's 1533-position model. The record is from RNAcentral.
UCGAGAAUCUUCCGCAAUGGACGCAAGUCUGACGGAGCGACGCCGCGUGCGGGAUGAAGGCCUUCGGGUUGUAAACCGCUGUCAGUGGGGAGCAAAUGCAUUGGGGCUAUCUCCUAUGCUUGAGCAAUCCGCAGAGGAAGUACGGGCUAAGUUCGUGCCAGCAGCCGCGGUAACACGAACCGUACGAACGUUAUUCGGAAUCACUGGGCUUAAAGAGUCCGUAGGCGGCUAGGAAGGUGAGGUGUGAAAUCCCACGGCUCAACCGUGGAACUGCGCUUCAAACCACUUGGCUAGAGGGAGAUAGAGGAGAGCGGAACUCACGGUGGAGCGGUGAAAUGCGUUGAUAUCGUGAGGAACACCGGUGGCGAAAGCGGCUCUCUGGGUCUCUUCUGACGCUGAGGGACGAAAGCUAGGGGAGCGAACGGGAUUAGAUACCCCCGUAGUCC